Molecule: unclassified non-coding RNA, 3269 nt
Filed under: Hermetia illucens (black soldier fly)
Lineage: Eukaryota; Metazoa; Arthropoda; Insecta; Diptera; Stratiomyidae
Description: protein hu-li tai shao, transcript variant X2
Source: RNAcentral
AUUGGCACGUCGCAGGGUCGGCGCAUCUCAAAUCCAUUGCACGGUCAGAAACAGAAGCCAGAACGCCAGCGUUGCGCGAGGUUGCGUGUUAUUCAGUGUGUGGCACCAGUGAGGAUUCUUGUUGGAAAAGUUUAUUUUCUACUGCCCGCGGAGGUCUGAGCCCGUCAGCAAGUUUCCACGUCCCGUUCCUGUUUAUUGUGUGUCCGUUAGCGAGGCGCGACGCGUUCUUGGUGCAGCUCCGAGUCGAAAACGUUUGAAAAGAGAAAAAAGCGAAGCGAACGAAUUUUCGCCUUCAGGACUUGUCUCCUCUUUGCCGUGCGAGUUAACGGAAGUUGAGUGGAUCCUGUCCGUGAGUGGUGGCGCAUUGUGCGAUACGCCCCGAGCCGACUCUGCUCCGGUUGCUUGGAUUUCGAAAAGUUUCAAGUAAAAACCGCUGAAAGCGGAAAAACGUCGACGAGAAAUCCCGCGGGCGAGCGAGGCGAAAUCAAGGCAGUUUCGAGUGUUUUGGCAGCUCCGCUCCAGUGUGUCCAGUGGAACGAGAUCAAUUGUUCCAAUUGGAAGAGGGAAAUUCCUACGUCAAUGGGCGUAGUUCCCCGACACGGCGACGAGAACGAACCGAAAGCGCAUCAUCAUCGGCGACAGUCGCGUUGAGAUUGUGUGCGUCGUGUGAACGCGAUAGUCGUGUGCCAGUCAAGUGUGUGUCGGGAAAACGCGACUAAAGAAUAAUUUUUCGGCGGCGUUUUCGCGUGGAAAUUGACCGCCAGAUUGUGCAAUUUGUGUGGUCGCCCGUAGAUUUCAAAGUGCAGCUUGCGUUUUCGAGUGAUAUUGCAUUUAAUUUUCGCCGCUUUCUGUGGAUUUUCGUCUUGUCCUUUUUUUGUAUUGGAUAAUUUUUUGAGACAAGCCUUAAAGCGCAGAUUUUUUAAGAGUUGGUGUCGUUAUUUGUACAAACAGUGAUCUAAGAUAAGUUGAACGUGUCUCCAGUUAAUUAUUUGUUUUAAAUCAAAAUACUUACAAAAUGACCGAAGUUGAGCAACCGUCGCAAAAUGGUCUAGACGUGACUUUAGACGAGGAUGAAAAUAACAAGUCAAGACCGGCAGAUAUUGAAGCGGAUAUGCGUGAAAUGGAACGGCGUAAACGUGUUGAAGCGAUAAUGGGCUCUAAACUUUUUCGCGAAGAGCUUGAACGUAUAGUGGACGCACAUCGAGAUGGUGGCCCUUCAGGUAUAUUGCAGCAGCUAUCGGAAAUGGUUGGCGUUCCAGCUUCACGCAUUGGCAACAUCUUCAAAAGCAGCAAUUGUGUCUUGCCUAUUAAUGAUAUUCGUGGUGUUGAAUCAAUGGGCUAUGAGAAAGGCGAAAAGAUAUUAAGAUGUAAAUUGGCAGCUACAUUCCGUCUAUUAGAUUUGUAUGGUUGGACGCAAGGAUUAGGCGCACAAAUCACCGCUCGAUUGAAUGCCGAUCAAGAGUUGUUUUUGGUUAAUCCAUUUGGAUUAAUGUAUCACGAAGUGACAGCAUCGUCACUGAAUAAAGCAGAUAUGCAAGGAUUUGUUGUCGAGCAGGGUACCACGAACUUUGGGAUAAAUACUACUCAUUAUGUUCUCCACUCCGUCGUCCAUGCAGCUCGUCCAGAUAUUCGAUGUAUAAUUUACAUCGGUUGUAAUCCCGUCGUAGCCGUUUCAUCAUUGAAAGUUGGAAUUUUGCCAUUGACAAAAGAUUCAGCCGUGCUAGGAGAGAUUGCUACCCACGCAUACACGGGAUCAUUGCAUGAGCCUGAAGAACGACAAAAAUUGGUCCGAUCGCUAGGUCCAAUUUCUAAAGUCCUUCUACUUAGCAACCAUGGUGCUCUGUGCUGUGGCGAAACAAUUGAAGAAGCCUUCUAUGCUGCCUAUCAUAUUGUACAAGCAUGUGAAACUCAAUUAAAAUUACUGCCAGUUGGACUCGAUAACUUAGUCCUUCUAUCGGAAGAAGCUCGUAAAGCUAUCUACGAUGCAUCACGAAAACCACCAGAAGGUUUUGAACAGCCAAAAACUGCCGAUGAUCAACAAUCGCAACAACAACAGGAUAAUAAGGAGAAACCGCGACAACAGAAAAUUAAGUGGCGUGUCGGUGGUGCUGAAUUUGAGGCUUUGAUGCGUAUGCUGGAUAAUGGCGGUUUCCGAACUGGUUAUAUCUAUCGUAAUCCGCUUGUUAAAUCUGAUCUGCCGAAACCGAAGAAUGAUGUUGAAGUUCCACCGGCUGUAUCAUCGUUGGGAUACUUAUUGGAGGAGGAAGAACUCUAUAGACAAGGAGUUUGGAAAAAAUCCGACCUACGCAAAGGAGGAGAUCGCACCAGAUGGCUCAACUCGCCGAAUGUGUACCAGAAGGUGGAAGUACUCGAAACUGGUACACCGGAUCCCAAGAAAAUUACAAAGUGGGUCGCCGAUGGUUCGCCAACACAUUCAACUCCAGUUCGUAUCGAGAAUGCGCUACAAUUUGUGCCACCGGGGACAAAUCCGAAGGAAUUUAAGAAAUUACAACAGUUGAUAAAAGACAAUCGUCGUGCUGAUAAGAUCUCAGCUGGACCACAAUCACAUAUACUAGAAGGUGUAACAUGGGAUGAAGCUAACAAUCGCAUUAAAGAUGCCACUGUAUCAGCGUCCGGAGACACCGUCGUUUUAAUGGGUGCUGCUUCAAAGGGAAUUAUACAACGAGGAUAUCAACAUAACGCAACGGUAUAUAAGGCCCCAUACGCUAAAAAUCCAUUUGAUUCAGUAACAGAUGAUGAAUUGAAUGAAUACAAGAAAACUGUAGAGAGGAAGCGUAUACAUGGUGAAUAUACUGAUACUGAUUUCUCAGAGUCAGAAGCUCUUAGUUCGCAACUAACUUCUGGUACACAACAGAAGAGUUCAGCGCAAAAUGUCCCAAGCCAGUCAGAGACCGAAGAUGCUUCUGAACCCCAAGUUUUGAGAAUAGAAACAAAGCAAGCACCCAAACCUAGCCAGCCAGAAGUAGUAUUGAGUGACGCCAGCUCACGUAAAACAAAACGAAAGUGAAAAAAAUGACUAGAUAUUUUUAAAGUAUAUAAUAAUUAGCUAAUUCUCAAUAAAUUUUAAACGAAUAACACAAAAUGAAAUUUUAUAAAUUAUUUCCUGUGUCUCUGCAAAUGUUGAUUUUCUUAAUUCGGAAAGAGCGCAUACGACGAGUAAAAAGCCACCAACAGGUCGAGGUGAAAAUGUACAAAACGGUGAUCAUUCAGAAACUCAUUUAAGCACAUUUUCGCAUAGCAGUAAAGAG